GUUGCUCUCUGGUAGAGGCGUGCAGGUGUUAGCCACACCCUCUGAGCUGGGAUGAGCUGUGCUCCUGGUGGAAGCAAGGGAGCCCAGCCGAAGCCAUGGCCAGUACAGUGGUAGCAGUUGGACUGACCAUUGCUGCUGCAGGAUUUGCAGGCCGUUAUGUUUUGCAAGCCAUGAAGCAUAUGGAGCCUCAAGUAAAACAAGUUUUUCAAAGCCUACCAAAAUCUCCCUACUGCCAAUAAAGGGAAAAUAAGAGAUG
This 256-nucleotide long non-coding RNA is filed under the name Homo sapiens (human). Its description in RNAcentral is "non-protein coding lnc-FANCM-8:1". The record is from RNAcentral. Lineage: Eukaryota; Metazoa; Chordata; Mammalia; Primates; Hominidae.